UACGAGGGGUGCAAGCGUUAUUCGGAGUUACUGGGCGUAAAGAGCGCGUAGGCGGCUUGCUAAGUUGAUUGUCAAAUUCCUUGGCUUAACUGAGGAUAGGCGGUCAAAACUGACGAGCUAGAGAGUAAGAGAGAAAGGUGGAAUUCUCGGAGUAGCGGUAAAAUGCGUAGAUCUCGAGAGGAAUAUCGGUUGCGAAGGCGGCCUUUUGGCUUAUUUCUGACGCUAAAGCGCGAAAGCGUGGGGAGCAAACAGG
Molecule: ribosomal RNA, 253 nt
Filed under: uncultured bacterium
Lineage: Bacteria
Description: partial 16S ribosomal RNA
Rfam family: Bacterial small subunit ribosomal RNA
Source: RNAcentral